UACAGAGGGUGCGAGCGUUAAUCGGAAUUACUGGGCGUAAAGGGCACGUAGGUGGCUAUUUAAGUCGGAUGUGAAAGCCCCGGGCUUAACCUGGGAACUGCAUUCGAAACUGAAUGGCUAGAGUAUGGUAGAGGGAAGUGGAAUUUCCGGUGUAGCGGUGAAAUGCGUAGAUAUCGGAAGGAACACCAGUGGCGAAGGCGACUUCCUGGACUAAUACUGACGCUGAGGUGCGAAAGCGUGGGGAGCAAACAGG
RNAcentral lists this ribosomal RNA (253 nucleotides) under uncultured bacterium. Its description in RNAcentral is "partial 16S ribosomal RNA". It matches the Rfam family "Bacterial small subunit ribosomal RNA", at positions 524 to 776 of the family's 1533-position model. The record is from RNAcentral.